RNAcentral lists this ribosomal RNA (202 nucleotides) under uncultured bacterium. RNAcentral describes it as "partial 16S ribosomal RNA". It matches the Rfam family "Bacterial small subunit ribosomal RNA", at positions 1299 to 1500 of the family's 1533-position model. The record is from RNAcentral.
UGCAGGCUGCAACUCGCCUGCAUGAAGCUGGAAUUGCUAGUAAUCGCGGAUCAGCAUGCCGCGGUGAAUACGUUCCCGGGCCUUGUACACACCGCCCGUCACACCAUGAGAGUCGGGAACACCCGAAGUCCGUAGUCUAACCGCAAGGAGGGCGCGGCCGAAGGUGGGUCCGGUAAUUGGGGUGAAGUCGUAACAAGGUACC